This 534-nucleotide ribosomal RNA is filed under the name marine sediment bacterium ISA-3136. RNAcentral's name for it is "bacterial SSU rRNA". It matches the Rfam family "Bacterial small subunit ribosomal RNA", at positions 9 to 526 of the family's 1533-position model. The record is from RNAcentral.
GAGUUUGAUCCCUGCUCAGGACGAACGCUGGCGGCGUGCCUAAUACAUGCAAGUCGAGCGAAUCGAUGGGAGCUUGCUCCCUGAGAUUAGCGGCGGACGGGUGAGUAACACGUGGGCAACCUGCCUAUAAGACUGGGAUAACUUCGGGAAACCGGAGCUAAUACCGGAUACGUUCUUUUCUCGCAUGAGAGAAGAUGGAAAGACGGUUUACGCUGUCACUUAUAGAUGGGCCCGCGGCGCAUUAGCUAGUUGGUGAGGUAAUGGCUCACCAAGGCGACGAUGCGUAGCCGACCUGAGAGGGUGAUCGGCCACACUGGGACUGAGACACGGCCCAGACUCCUACGGGAGGCAGCAGUAGGGAAUCUUCCGCAAUGGACGAAAGUCUGACGGAGCAACGCCGCGUGAACGAAGAAGGCCUUCGGGUCGUAAAGUUCUGUUGUUAGGGAAGAACAAGUACCAGAGUAACUGCUGGUACCUUGACGGUACCUAACCAGAAAGCCACGGCUAACUACGUGCCAGCAGCCGCGGUAAUAC